GAGUCGCUCCGCACGGGCCUCCAUUGGGUGGCCGAGGCAAGGAGGGGAAAAUGGCGGAGUGAGGGGAAGAAGUGGAGCAAGAGCCGCGGGCUGCGGCCCGAUGGCCUGAGCUGAGGUCCAUACAUAAACCAUCUUUAUUACCAGUUGGAACAAGAAAAUUGCUUUACUAGAAAACUGAAGACAUUAUACAUGACGAUUUGAGCAGUCAUGAAGCAAACAGGAAUAUAGUCUUGUGGUUUGAGUCAAGCUCA
This is a long non-coding RNA of Euleptes europaea (tarantolino), 251 nucleotides long. RefSeq lists it as uncharacterized. Lineage: Eukaryota; Metazoa; Chordata; Lepidosauria; Squamata; Sphaerodactylidae. The transcript is spliced from 3 exons. The record is from RefSeq and is a predicted model, not a curated record.